This 1019-nucleotide long non-coding RNA is filed under the name Daphnia pulicaria. RNAcentral describes it as "uncharacterized LOC124351092, transcript variant X1". Lineage: Eukaryota; Metazoa; Arthropoda; Branchiopoda; Diplostraca; Daphniidae. The record is from RNAcentral.
AUUUGUUGGGCAAUGUUGCGAGUUUCAAGUGUCGGCCAUUUUACAUUUUCCAAGGAUCGUCUGCUGCUUUGUUGUAGUGACUCAACACGUGUGAAUAAGAUCUCGUCGUUCAUUGUUUAAUAGGCGUUCGUGACUAAAGCUGACCAGCAGAGAUCUUAUCGUUUUUGCUGACCAUAUGCGAGUUGAAUUUGUUCGUGUCGUACAAAUGAUAAUGGCCCGUCGUAUAAAAUUCUUAAGGACUUGACAGACCACGUGAACAAUGCUCCCCAGUCGAAUACUCGAAGGAGAAAGUUCGACCAAAGAAAUCGCCUAUAUUUUUUAUAUGGUUAUUUUAUUACGACGAGACCUUGUUAACACUUUUUUCGACAGGUAAAAAAGAAGCGGCUGUCAGUAGAGUGAAAGGGCUGAGGGCAGCUGCAACUUUUUUCGGCAACUAGAUCUCUGGCCCUGCACAUAUUUGUCUUUACCCAUAAAUCUGUGGAUUUAUAUACCGUUUCUAAAAGCUCUGGAUGAACACCUUUCUAGAUACCACCAAAAGCUCCAUGUGCCUGUGAUGUGAUCUACUCAAUGUGAUUGUUUUCGCCGUGGACAUGGGUGACAAUCGAACUUUUUCCGUCAGCCAGAGCUUCGCGUCUCCGUAUCAGCUGUGCGACAACCGUUGGCACUCGGUCAAGGCCAACUACGUCGAGAACGCCCUCACGCGCAAGGUGGACCACCAGGACGAGCAGUACGGAUUCUCCAGCAACGGACACGUCAAGGAGGCCAAGACCCGCAAUCCGCUCUUGGCGGCCUGCCCGAACUGGAGCCGCAAGGGGCGCUGCGAGUACGGACAUGCCCGUACGUACGUGGAGACCAUGUUGCCGCAACGUGGUGAUCCGCGGCGAGAUCAAGGACUGGACCGACAUGGCCCGGCUCAACAACGUCCUCCUUAACGCCUGUCCCACUAACUAAUCAAAGUGCCUGAAAAUCAACCGGCCUAUUAUCCAAUUAGCCGAAAUACACAAAAACCUAACCAAAAA